Molecule: ribosomal RNA, 1399 nt
Filed under: uncultured marine bacterium
Lineage: Bacteria
Description: bacterial SSU rRNA
Rfam family: Bacterial small subunit ribosomal RNA
Source: RNAcentral
GAGUUUGAUCCUGGCUCAGGAUGAACGCUAGCGGCACGCUUCAUACAUGCAAGUCGAGGGGCAGCAUAAAGUACUUGUACUUUGAUGGCGACCGGCGAACGGGUGCGUAACGCGUAUGCAACUUACCUUUUACUAGAGAAUAGCCAAGAGAAAUUUUGAUUAAUGCUCUAUACUCUUUUUAACUCACAUGAGUUUUUAAGAAAAGCUCCGGCGGUAAAAGAUGGGCAUGCGUCCUAUUAGCUUGUAGGUGAGGUAACGGCUCACCUAAGCUCCGAUAGGUAGGGGUCCUGAGAGGGAGAUCCCCCACACUGGUACUGAGACACGGACCAGACUUCUACGGAAGGCAGCAGUAAGGAAUAUUGGACAAUGGAGGAAACUCUGAUCCAGCGAUGCCGCGUGAAGGAAGACGGCCCUAUGGGUUGUAAACUUCUUUUAUACAGGAAGAAACCUUUCCACGUGUGGAAAGCUGACGGUACUGUAAGAAUAAGGAUCGGCUAACUCCGUGCCAGCAGCCGCGGUAAUACGGAGGAUCCAAGCGUUAUCCGGAAUUAUUGGGUUUAAAGGGUCCGCAGGCUGUUUGUUAAGUCAGGGGUGAAAUCCUACCGCUCAACGGUAGAACUGCCUUUGAUACUGGCAAACUUGAGUUAUUGUGAAGUAGUUAGAAUGUGUAGUGUAGCGGUGAAAUGCAUAGAUAUUACACAGAAUACCAAUUGCGAAGGCAGAUUACUAACAAUUAACUGACGCUGAGGGACGAAAGCGUGGGUAGCGAACAGGAUUAGAUACCCUGGUAGUCCACGCCGUAAACGAUGAGCACUGGAUGUCCGGAGGGUUCGACCCUUCUGGGUGUCUCAGCUAACGCAUUAAGUGCUCCGCCUGGGGAGUACGGUCGCAAGACUAAAACUCAAAGGAAUUGACGGGGGCCCGCACAAGCGGUGGAACAUGUGGUUUAAUUCGAUGCAACGCGAAGAACCUUACCUGGUCUUGACAUCCUCGGACCACUUCAGAGAUGAAGUUUCCUCUUCGGAGGCCGAGUGACAGGUGCUGCAUGGCUGUCGUCAGCUCGUGUCGUGAGAUGUUGGGUUAAGUCCCGCAACGAGCGCAACCCCUACCCUUAAUUGCCAUCAGGUUAAGCUGGGCACUUUAGGGGGACUGCCGGUGACAAGCCGGAGGAAGGUGGGGAUGACGUCAAGUCCUCAUGGCCUUUAUGACCAGGGCUACACACGUGUUACAAUGGGAGUUACAGAGGGAAGCUAAACCGCGAGGUCGUGCCAAUCCCAGAAAAACUUUCUCAGUUCGGAUAGCAGUCUGCAACUCGACUGCUUGAAGCUGGAAUCGCUAGUAAUCGCGGAUCAGCACGCCGCGGUGAAUACGUUCCCGGGCCUUGUACUCACCGCCCGUC